AGUUGGUGAGAGCUGCUGGUGUGGGGCAGGAGAAGCCAUAAGGCACUAAAAAUAACAGCACACCUCACAUCUAUCUGGAUGGCUGUUAUCAAAAGAACAGAAAGUAAUGCUGUGAAUCCUGACUAAUGCAUCUUCCAAAAGAAUCUACAGAACAGCUGGGGAGCAUGAGUCUAAGGUCUGUAGGCUCCAGAUGAAAGAUCCUGUCGCUGAUGCUGGGCCAGCCUACAAGCACCCCCCAGACAGGCUGUCACAGAACAGUAGGGCUGACGAACCACGUUCAGUUGCUUGAAUCCCAUCAUUUAGUACAUCAGUUCCAAACACACAGCAAGAAACAAAGGGAGAGAUCUGCAGUUGGUUGACACUGCAGGAUCUGGUGCCUUCAGGGUGGAAGGACCACAGCCCUGGGUCCUGGGCUAUGCAAUGUUCACAAUCCGUCUCUGUCUGCCCAUCAGUCUCCCCUGCUAACAGUGUGGUUACCAGGACCAGUCAAAUAGUCAAACAAGGAGGCUUAGCAGAUGGAAGCUGCCCAGAAACUGCACAUCCUUGUCCUACCAAAGAAACACAAGAGCACGAUCACCUGGCCAGUAUCUGGGGCUCGCCAGCUGACCUGCGGAGUGGCUGUGGGCUUUGUUUGCAUUUCUUGAGCAGAGCACAUAUGGUCCCAUCUAUCUUUGUCAUUCAUUUCUCUUAUUUUCUCCAGCAGAAUUGAAUGGUCUUAAAAGAGUGAACAUGUAUUGCAGAUGCCGUGAGAGCUAUGAUGGUGAAACUGCUGAUCUUCCUAGUACUUUAAAAAAGACUUUCUACAAAGAUCCUUUCUAUUUUGUGUGUUUGUUGUUGCAAAUAAGUACUUGAUUAGAGGCCAAGCGAAAGCUGGUGGUUUUUA
This 883-nucleotide long non-coding RNA is filed under the name Homo sapiens (human). Its description in RNAcentral is "HSALNT0404056". Lineage: Eukaryota; Metazoa; Chordata; Mammalia; Primates; Hominidae. The record is from RNAcentral.